UUCGGGGAGGACGGUCACCACUUUGUGAUUCAUGACUGGGGUGAAGUCGUAACAAGGUAACCCUAGGGGAACCUGGGGUUGGAUCACCUCCUUAUCUUGAAG
This 102-nucleotide ribosomal RNA is filed under the name Colwellia sp. C1TZA3. RNAcentral describes it as "partial 16S ribosomal RNA". It matches the Rfam family "Bacterial small subunit ribosomal RNA", at positions 1440 to 1533 of the family's 1533-position model. The record is from RNAcentral. Lineage: Bacteria; Pseudomonadati; Pseudomonadota; Gammaproteobacteria; Alteromonadales; Colwelliaceae.